Molecule: ribosomal RNA, 253 nt
Filed under: uncultured bacterium
Lineage: Bacteria
Description: partial 16S ribosomal RNA
Rfam family: Bacterial small subunit ribosomal RNA
Source: RNAcentral
UACGAAGGGGGCUAGCGUUGUUCGGAAUCACUGGGCGUAAAGGGCGCGUAGGCGGCUUUAUAAGUCGGGGGUGAAAGCCUGUGGCUCAACCACAGAAUUGCCUUCGAUACUGUAGAGCUUGAGACCGGAAGAGGUAAGUGGAACUGCGAGUGUAGAGGUGAAAUUCGUAGAUAUCAGGAAGAACACCAAUGGCGAAGGCAGCUCUCUGGGACGGUACUGACGCUGAGACGCGAAAGCGUGGGGAGCGAACAGG